This is an RNA transcript of Phalaenopsis equestris, 4013 nucleotides long. It is a transcript of the gene named auxilin-like protein 1, with no coding region annotated. The record is from RefSeq and is a predicted model, not a curated record. The transcript is spliced from 9 exons. NCBI's taxonomy places the organism in Eukaryota, Viridiplantae, Streptophyta, Magnoliopsida, Asparagales, Orchidaceae.
GUCGCUAGCUGGUCGGUUAGAUUUCUGCAUUUCCGGAGCUGACGAGCGCCGAGUUCGACAUUGGGAGGGAGGGAGGAGGGAGCAGAAAGUGGAGGAAAGCCCUAGGCCUCUCUUCUUCCUCCACACCGCUCUUUCACGCUCUAGCUAUGGAAGAGCUGCGUAGCGCCCGGCAUUGGGGGAAGAAACCGCACGGGUCCGCGGUGUUCGCAAGGCCUGCUUAUGACGACUUUUUGGGCAGGAUGCCCUUUCCUGCGCAGUUUGAGGAUUACUGCGAGAUUUUCGGCACUGCAGCUUCCGCCUCCUCAAUCCCUGUGCUCGACCUUCCCCCGGCAGAUGACGACUUCGUGGCCGCCGGAGACAGCGACAGACGAGUCUGCGUGGACUACUCCGAGAUAUUCGGGGGACUUAGCGGAGGUGGCUUCAUGGUUUCGUACGAGGAGCUGUUUGGCGUUUCAAAGAGACCAGGAGUUUCUUCUUUGGAUGGGGUGGCUGGAUGGGGUGUGUUGUCUGAACAGGCUAAUGAAGCUUCAGAACACUUACUAGAAGGAUAUUCCAAGGAUCACAUAGAAAUUUUGGAGAUGGAAGAGGUUAUUUCAGUUCCUAACAAUACAGAUGAGACAAGUUCAAAGCAGUUCUCCAUGUCAUACCACAAAACACGCUGUGAAAUCGUAGAUGAUUUAGCUAUUGAUAAAACUAAUAUGGCUAAACUCGAUGCUAUUCAUGAAUUUAAUUUUGUGGUUGAUGCAAGCGAACCUGUUAUUAAGACGAAAAACCAACAAAUUAACACAGCGAUCACCACCACUGCAUGUACUAAGUCAGUUACACAUGAUGAAAGACAAGAGAAUGAAGCAUCAUUCAACUCUUUCUCUAAUGCAGCUAACUCCGAAAGUCUGAUGGUAGGUCAGACAUCACCAAGGUCUAAUUGUGCUUCCCUGCUAGAUACUAACCAAAAUGAGAAGUAUCAUUCUAGGUCCUCUAGCUACCAUUCAGCAUCUAGUGGUGAUAUUUCCUUUUCUGAUGUUGAGUACUUCAAUAUAUCAGAAAUUAGUCUACAAACAAAACCUUUGCAAGGUCCACCGCCUUCAAGAUCUCCUCCUCAGCUAAUUAAGAAGCCAGAUAAUCCAAAAAUGAUACAUUUAAAUUCCAAUUCUGAUGUAGAAGAUGGAAGCUUGCAAAUACCCAAGCUAAAGUAUCAUAUGCUGUCCAACAAUGGUGUUACCAAAAUCCAGGCAAUUGAUGAACAAGUUGAAGUCAAUUCAUGUUUUUAUGGUAAUGAGAUUGAUCCUAGUUCAGCUGCUGCAGCUUCUGUAGCUGCUGUAAAAGCGGCAAUGGAACAGGCUCGAGCUCGAUUAAAAAUUGCUAAGGAGUUGAUGGACAGAAAACAGGAUAAAUACAAGAGGAAGGUUGAUCAGCCUAAAGCUAUGAACUGUGAGCAAGAUGAAGCAAACUAUGAGGUAGCACUUAGAAGUUGUAACAAGGUGAUGGCUGCUAACAAAUUGCUCAAAGGGAAUAAUUCAAUUAAUGUGUGUGCUUUCCCAGAGAGGCAAGAAAUCCGUAAUGCAAGGAUGACAACUUUGAACCAUGAGAAGAAAGGACGACUUCCUUCAUCUGGUGAGAACCAACGGCCCAUGAGUUCAGAUAAUGGUUUUAAAUCAACUGAAGCAACUUGUGAAUUUGAUGACUUACCUGGUGAAUGGAAAACUGAAAAGCAAUAUAAUGAAGUGAUACGGAAUGAUAGUUUGUUGAAUGAAGUCAAUGAUAGCUUUAUGCAUGAAAAUGAGAAGAAAACAAAAGCAGUGUAUGCAUGCCAAGAUAUAUACAAAGAUGGCAUAAACGAAGAACAAGCCUUUGAAGUUCUAGAAAACAAAAAAUCAUCAGAAGCUACUUGCAGUAUUGAAAAGUUUGAAAAUGAUCACAAUUUGAAUGGUGCUAGUAUGGCUUAUAUGAAGGACUCAAAAGAGAAAGUUGUAAAUUCAAUUAUGGAAGAUUUUCUAAUAACAGAAAGUGCAAGUAAGCUUAAUGAGGCUUAUGGUUGUUGUCUAUUGGAUGAUACUGAGAAAAGAUGUGAUGCUAACGAAGAUAAUACCGCUGAGAAUGACGGAAACUUGAGAAAUGAAGGUGAUGUUUACAAAGAUAAUACUACUAAGGAUGAUUAUAACUCACCAAAUUCUUUUGUGGGCUCCUGUUUGUGUAAAGAUAGUGAGAAUAUUAUAGUAUCUGAAGGGCUGUGCUCAAGUAAAACAACUGACAAAAUGAACAUGGUUGAAGAAACUAAUAAAUUCAAUGAAAUUGUGAGGCAAAUUGAGUGCAUGAAUGUGACAUUAUGCAAGGCUGACGAGAACAAUAUAUCAAUGGAAGAGGACGAUCCUAAUGGAUUACAGGAAAAUGAGGAGGCAUAUAUUUUUAUCGAAAACGAGCUUGAACAAGAAGCAAUUCAUAAUGCUAAUGGGUUAGAAAUAAGAGAUGCUUCAACUGAGCUCCAUGAAGACGAGUUAGUUGAACCAGAUAGGAACCAUGAGCUGCACAAUUUUGCAUUCUUGGUAGCAGCUGAAAGCGACUGUGCUAAGAAAGAAAGUGACCACACUCUGGAAGUUCCUGUGGCACGUAAUUUUGUGAAAAAUCAAUUCAUUUCAGCUUCAGCUAAGGAGGUCUGGCAACAGAGUGAGGAAUCUGAUGCCCCAGAGAUUACUUUGUCAAGUAAGGAAGAUGACUCACCAACUAAAGCUCCAGAUAUGACAGAAGUUUCUAAUGCUGAGGUGGCUGAGAAUCAUAAGCAUUCAAUUCUUACUGAAGAAGAGGAAAAUAAAAAAGCAGUCAUAGAAAAAGUAAGGGACAAAGAGCGAGCUAUAAGAUUAGAAGAGAGAGAGCGGGAGAGAGAGAGAGAGAAAGAUAGGAUUGCUGUGGAAAGAGCUAAUCAUGAUGCCCACCAACGAGCACUUGUUGAAGCUCGGGAAAGGGCUGAAAGAAUUGCGGUAGAGAGGGUAACUGCUGAAGCACGGCAAAGAGCGCUUGCUGAUGCUCGAGAGAAGGCCGGAAAAGCUGCUGAAGCUGAGAAAGCUUCUAGGGGAGCAAGAUUGAGAGCUGAGCGUGCUGCAGUUGAAAGAGCAACUGAAGAGGCGCGCCAGCGUGCUAUUGAGAAAGCACUUGCUGAGAAAGCUGCCAAUGAGGCAAGAAGCAGGAUGAGGAAAGGCAAUGAAACGAUGCCCAAAGCUGCUUACGUUAAGGAAGGUUCUGAGACAAGAUUAAAAUCCACAAGUGAAAUUCUGCUGAAUACACAAUCUCAGAGUUCUGCUUGUUCAAACAAUGGACAGAAAUCUUCAAAUUCUUGCGAUACUGGUGGAAGUGAAUCAGUGUUGAGGUGCAAAGCAAGACAAGAGAGACUGCAACGGACAGCUGAGCGUGCUGCAAACGCACUUGCUGAAAAGAAUAUGCGUGAUAUUCUUGCUCAAAGAGAACAGGCAGAACGAGAUAGACUUGCAGAGUCGCUGGAUGCUGAGGUGAGGAGGUGGUCAACUGGAAAAGAUGGGAAUUUGCGCGCAUUGUUGUCAACACUUCAAUAUAUUCUUGGAUCUGACAGUGGUUGGCAGCCAGUUUCUCUAACAGAUGUUUUAACUGCGGCUGCUGUGAAGAAAGCAUAUAGAAAAUCUACUUUAUGCGUUCAUCCAGAUAAACUGCAACAGCGGGGUGCCACCAUUCAACAAAAGUACAUCUGUGAGAAGGUUUUUGAUCUCCUUAAGGAGGCCUGGAACAAAUUUAAUUCAGAGGAGCGAUAGCAAGAGAAUCCGAACGCAUCAUUAACUGUUAUUUGUACCUUCACCGCAUUGGUAACAUUGCAGGAUGAUGGCAGUGACAUCUGUUAAGUGGAAGUGAUGAUGUGAGCGCAGGGAAGCAUGAGGUGAAGAAAACAUUAAGAUGUUUUAGUUGCUUAGGAGUGAUUUCAACUAAACUAUGGUCCUUUUUAAGAUUGAAAGAAUAAAAUUAUUGACUUGAGUUGAGGUUUAAAGAGAAUUUGU